AGUGGGAUAGCUGGGUCAAGUGGUAGUUUCAUUCCAAGUUGUUUAAGGAAUCUCCAUACUACCUUCCAGAUUGGUUAUACCAAUUUGCAGUCCCACCAGCAAU
This 103-nucleotide microRNA precursor is filed under the name Marmota monax (woodchuck). Lineage: Eukaryota; Metazoa; Chordata; Mammalia; Rodentia; Sciuridae. The record is from RNAcentral.